Molecule: ribosomal RNA, 497 nt
Filed under: uncultured bacterium
Lineage: Bacteria
Description: partial 16S ribosomal RNA
Rfam family: Bacterial small subunit ribosomal RNA
Source: RNAcentral
GAUGAACGCUGGCGGCGUGCCUAAUACAUGCAAGUCGAGCGAACAGACGAGGAGCUUGCUCCUCUGACGUUAGCGGCGGACGGGUGAGUAACACGUGGAUAACCUACCUAUAAGACUGGGAUAACUUCGGGAAACCGGAGCUAAUACCGGAUAAUAUAUUGAACCGCAUGGUUCAAUAGUGAAAGACGGUUUUGCUGUCACUUAUAGAUGGAUCCGCGCCGCAUUAGCUAGUUGGUAAGGUAACGGCUUACCAAGGCAACGAUGCGUAGCCGACCUGAGAGGGUGAUCGGCCACACUGGAGCUGAGACGCGGUCCAGACUCCUACGGGAGGCAGCAGUAGGGAAUCUUCCGCAAUGGGCGAAAGCUUGACGGAGCAACGCCGCGUGAGUGAUGAAGGUCUUCGGAUCGUAAAACUCUGUUAUUAGGGAAGAACAAAUGUGUAAGUAACUAUGCACGUCUUGACGGUACCUAAUCAGAAAGCCACGGCUAACUACGUG